GACGAACGCUGGCGGCGUGCUUAACACAUGCAAGUCGAACGGAAAGGCCUCUUUCGGGGGGUACUCGAGUGGCGAACGGGUGAGUAACACGUGAGUAACCUGCCCUUGACUUUGGGAUAACUUCAGGAAACUGGGGCUAAUACCGGAUAGGAGCUCCUGCUGCAUGGUGGGGGUUGGAAAGUUUCGGCGGUUGGGGAUGGACUCGCGGCUUAUCAGCUUGUUGGUGGGGUAGUGGCUUACCAAGGCUUUGACGGGUAGCCGGCCUGAGAGGGUGACCGGCCACAUUGGGACUGAGAUACGGCCCAGACUCCUUCGGGAGGCAGAAGUGGGGAAUAUUGCACAAUGGGUGGAAGCCUGAUGCAGCAACGCCGUGUGCGGGAUGACGGCCUUCGGGUUGUAAACCGCUUUCGCCUGUGACGAAGCGUGAGUGACGGUAAUGGGUAAAGAAGCACCGGCUAACUACGUG
Molecule: ribosomal RNA, 466 nt
Filed under: uncultured bacterium
Lineage: Bacteria
Description: partial 16S ribosomal RNA
Rfam family: Bacterial small subunit ribosomal RNA
Source: RNAcentral